UAUGAAGAACGUAGCGAAAUGCGAUAAGUAAUGUGAAUUGCAGAAUUCAGUGAAUCAUCGAAUCUUUGAACGCACAUUGCGCCCCCUGGUAUUCCGGGGGGCAUGCCUGUUCGAGCGUCAUUACAACCCUCAAGCUCUGCUUGGUAUUGGGCCCCGCCAGUUCUGGCGGGCCCUAAAGUCAGUGGCGGUGCCUUCCGGCUCCGAGCGUAGUAAUUCUUCUCGCUCUGGAGACCCGGUUGUGUGCUUGCCAACAACCCCCAAUUUUUUAAGGUUGACCUCGGAUCAGGUAGGGAUACCCGCUGAACUUAAGCAUAUCAAUAAGCGGAGGA
RNAcentral lists this unclassified non-coding RNA (329 nucleotides) under soil metagenome. RNAcentral's name for it is "partial contains 5.8S ribosomal RNA, internal transcribed spacer 2, and large subunit ribosomal RNA". The stretch from base 2 to 120 matches the Rfam family "5.8S ribosomal RNA", at positions 36 to 154 of the family's 154-position model. The record is from RNAcentral.